Molecule: ribosomal RNA, 928 nt
Filed under: Leuconostoc pseudomesenteroides
Lineage: Bacteria; Bacillati; Bacillota; Bacilli; Lactobacillales; Lactobacillaceae
Description: bacterial SSU rRNA
Rfam family: Bacterial small subunit ribosomal RNA
Source: RNAcentral
CCGCGGUAAUACGUAUGUCCCGAGCGUUAUCCGGAUUUAUUGGGCGUAAAGCGAGCGCAGACGGUUGAUUAAGUYUGAUGUGAAAGCCCGGAGCUCAACUCCGGAAUGGCAUUGGAAACUGGUUAACUUGAGUGCAGUAGAGGUAAGUGGAACUCCAUGUGUAGCGGUGGAAUGCGUAGAUAUAUGGAAGAACACCAGUGGCGAAGGCGGCUUACUGGACUGUAACUGACGUUGAGGCUCGAAAGUGUGGGUAGCAAACAGGAUUAGAUACCCUGGUAGUCCACACCGUAAACGAUGAACACUAGGUGUUAGGAGGUUUCCGCCUCUUAGUGCCGAAGCUAACGCAUUAAGUGUUCCGCCUGGGGAGUACGACCGCAAGGUUGAAACUCAAAGGAAUUGACGGGGACCCGCACAAGCGGUGGAGCAUGUGGUUUAAUUCGAAGCAACGCGAAGAACCUUACCAGGUCUUGACAUCCUUUGAAGCUUUUAGAGAUAGAAGUGUUCUCUUCGGAGACAAAGUGACAGGUGGUGCAUGGUCGUCGUCAGCUCGUGUCGUGAGAUGUUGGGUUAAGUCCCGCAACGAGCGCAACCCUUAUUGUUAGUUGCCAGCAUUCAGAUGGGCACUCUAGCGAGACUGCCGGUGACAAACCGGAGGAAGGCGGGGACGACGUCAGAUCAUCAUGCCCCUUAUGACCUGGGCUACACACGUGCUACAAUGGCGUAUACAACGAGUUGCCAACCCGCGAGGGUGAGCUAAUCUCUUAAAGUACGUCUCAGUUCGGAUUGUAGUCUGCAACUCGACUACAUGAAGUCGGAAUCGCUAGUAAUCGCGGAUCAGCACGCCGCGGUGAAUACGUUCCCGGGUCUUGUACACACCGCCCGUCACACCAUGGGAGUUUGUAAUGCCCAAAGCUCGGUUGCCUAACCU